AAUGUUUGAUGUUCUAACGUUGACCCGUGAUCCGGGUUGCGGACAGUGUCUGGUGGGUAGUUUGACUGGGGCGGUCUCCUCCUAAAGAGUAACGGAGGAGCACGAAGGUUGGCUAAUCCUGGUCGGACAUCAGGAGGUUAGUGCAAUGGCAUAAGCCAGCUUGACUGCGAGCGUGACGGCGCGAGCAGGUGCGAAAGCAGGUCAUAGUGAUCCGGUGGUUCUGAAUGGAAGGGCCAUCGCUCAACGGAUAAAAGGUACUCCGGGGAUAACAGGCUGAUACCGCCCAAGAGUUCAUAUCGACGGCGGUGUUUGGCACCUCGAUGUCGGCUCAUCACAUCCUGGGGCUGAAGUAGGUCCCAAGGGUAUGGCUGUUCGCCAUUUAAAGUGGUACGCGAGCUGGGUUUAGAACGUCGUGAGACAGUUCGGUCCCUAUCUGCCGUGGGCGCUGGAGAACUGAGGGGGGCUGCUCCUAGUACGAGAGGACCGGAGUGGACGCAUCACUGGUGUUCGGGUUGUCAUGCCAAUGGCACUGCCCGGUAGCUAAAUGCGGAAGAGAUAAGUGCUGAAAGCAUCUAAGCACGAAACUUGCCCCGAGAUGAGUUCUCCCUGACUCCUUGAGAGUCCUGAAGGAACGUUGAAGACGACGACGUUGAUAGGCCGGGUGUGUAAGCGCAGCGAUGCGUUGAGCUAACCGGUACUAAUGAACCGUGAGG
RNAcentral lists this ribosomal RNA (713 nucleotides) under Escherichia coli. RNAcentral describes it as "partial 23S ribosomal RNA". It matches the Rfam family "Bacterial large subunit ribosomal RNA", at positions 2209 to 2916 of the family's 2925-position model. Lineage: Bacteria; Pseudomonadati; Pseudomonadota; Gammaproteobacteria; Enterobacterales; Enterobacteriaceae. The record is from RNAcentral.